RNAcentral lists this ribosomal RNA (448 nucleotides) under uncultured bacterium. RNAcentral describes it as "bacterial SSU rRNA". It matches the Rfam family "Bacterial small subunit ribosomal RNA", at positions 329 to 792 of the family's 1533-position model. The record is from RNAcentral.
GUCCAGACUCCUACGGGAGGCAGCAGUGGGGAAUAUUGGGCAAUGGGCGCAAGCCUGACCCAGCAAUGCCGCGUGAAGGAAGAAGGCCCUCGGGUUGUAAACUUCUUUUAUCAGGGACGAAGGAUGUGACGGUACCUGAUGAAUAAGCUCCGGCUAACUACGUGCCAGCAGCCGCGGUAAUACGUAGGGAGCAAGCGUUGUCCGGAAUUACUGGGUGUAAAGGGAGCGUAGGCGGGGAUGCAAGUUGGGUGUCAAAACGACCGGCUCAACCGAUAGUCGCACUCAAAACUGCAGCUCUUGAGUGAAGUAGAGGCAGGCGGAAUUCCUAGUGUAGCGGUGAAAUGCGUAGAUAUUAGGAGGAACGCCAGUGGCGAAGGCGGCCUGCUGGGCUUUUACUGACGCUGAGGCUCGAAAGUGUGGGGAGCAAACAGGAUUAGAUACCCCUGUA